CAUAGCGACUAUCGUGGCAUAUCAAUAAGCGGAGGAAAAGAAACUAACAAGGAUUCCCUUAGUAACGGCGAGUGAAGCGGGAAGAGCUCAAAUUUGAAAUCUUAAAGGGUUUCCCUUUACGAAUUGUAGUUUAAAGAAGUGUUUUCUGUUGGAGUUUCGGUAAAAGUUCUUUGGAAUAGGACAUCAUAGAGGGUGAGAAUCCCGUAUUUGACCGUUACUUUCCAGCUGUGUGAUACACUUUCAAAGAGUCGGAUUGUUUGGGAAUGCAGUCCAAAGAUGGGUGGUAAAUUUCAUCUAAAGCUAAAUAUUGGCGAGAGACCGAUAGCGAACAAGUACCGUGAGGGAAAGAUGAAAAGAACUUUGAAAAGAGAGUUAAACAGUACGUGAAAUUGUCAAAAGGGAAGCGUUUGACACCAGUGUUGUUUAGUUGAAAAUCAAUUCAAUAAUUUUUGAUUCUGAGUAGUAUUGACUUCAUCAGCUUGCUGCUUUCUUCUCGAGAAAUUAUUGAAUGCACUUUUCAGUUAACAAGUCAACAUCAAUUUCUUUUGUUGUAAAAGGGUAAGAGGAAGGUGGCUUACGCUUCGGCGUCAAGUGUUUAUAGCCUUUUACCUCUGCAAUCGGAGAGAUUGAGGUACAUGCAGCGUAGACUCCUUCGGGGUUAGAUACACUUGUGCUAAGCUAUAGCCUUGUAUAGACAACUUGUUGACUAUGCUCAGUCAUGUAGCUUACUCGCUGAUGCUAUUUUACCUACGCUUAGGAUGUUGACGAGACUGUCGAUCUC
This 781-nucleotide ribosomal RNA is filed under the name uncultured Neocallimastigales. RNAcentral describes it as "partial large subunit ribosomal RNA". It matches the Rfam family "Eukaryotic large subunit ribosomal RNA", at positions 22 to 647 of the family's 3401-position model. The record is from RNAcentral. Lineage: Eukaryota; Fungi; Neocallimastigomycota; Neocallimastigomycetes; Neocallimastigales.